UUAGUGGCGGACGGGUGAGUAACGCGUGGGUAACCUGCCUUACACAGGGGGAUAACACUUAGAAAUAGGUGCUAAAACCGCAUAAGCGCACAGCUUCGCAUGAAGCGGUGUGAAAAACUCCGGUGGUGUAAGAUGGACCCGCGUCUGAUUAGCUUGUUGGCGGGGUAACGGCCCACCAAGGCGACGAUCAGUAGCCGGCCUGAGAGGACGGACGGCCACAUUGGGACUGAGACACGGCCCAGACUCCUACGGGAGGCAGCAG
Molecule: ribosomal RNA, 262 nt
Filed under: uncultured bacterium
Lineage: Bacteria
Description: partial 16S ribosomal RNA
Rfam family: Bacterial small subunit ribosomal RNA
Source: RNAcentral